AUCAAUCACUUUUCUCUACAAUUUUAGUUGGUCUCUAAUAAAUCCAAAUCAUAUUCCUACAAUUUUAAUUGGUCCCUAAUAAACCCAAAUAAUAUAUUAUUGUAUUUUAUAUAUCAAUUUUUGAACUCAUAUAGUCGGGAACAAAAUGAAAAAAAAGGUUUCAUCACUCUCUCUCUCUCUCUCCCUCUUUCUCUCUCUAUCAAAUCCCUAAUUUCUUUUCAUGCAUCUCUUUUCUACGGAUUCGAUAUAUGAAUUCACUGGUUCUUCUCAACGAUCUCGUUGAUUGCUUCUGAUCUGUGGUUCAUCAUUGUCUCAAAGCAUCUCUGUCCAGGGCUGGAUCGCUCCGUUGCCGCCUCAUCUCUCCUUGAUUCUCCGAUUUCCCGGCGUAUCUCCGGUAGCGAUUCCGAUCAGAUUGCAUUUGUAUGAUUUGGUUGAGCUAAAGGUUCAAGGAGAUGGUAACUGUCAACUGCAUCAGCCAGUGACAGCUGAAGAUUUGGAAUCCGCUUCUACUACACAAGAAAAUUAAUAGGCUGACUUGAAAUUGAGGGGAGCCUCUUGUUGUCUGCCAGAAUUGCAAUUCAUCUCUCUUGCUUUGGCACAUAAUAAAUUGAAGUUCAGAAAAUCCGUCUGUGUCCCUCUGCACGUGCUGACACAACCACAUGCGUUGAGAAGAAAUUUGCUAAAAACCCAACUAAGGUUGAAGAGCUUGUCACCUAAAGGGACGUAUUUCCAGCAUCAUUGGUGAUCCUAGUCACUGUUUUUGGCGCCAAUAGCCGGCUA
This is a non-coding RNA of Camellia sinensis, 780 nucleotides long. NCBI's taxonomy places the organism in Eukaryota, Viridiplantae, Streptophyta, Magnoliopsida, Ericales, Theaceae. The record is from RefSeq and is a predicted model, not a curated record.